GCCAGGCACGGUGGCGCAUGCCUGUAGUCCCAGCUAUUCGGGAGGCUGAGGCUGGAGGAUCUCUUGAGUCCAGGAGUUCUGGGCUGUAGUGCGCUAUGCCGAUCGGGUGUCCGCACUAAGUUCGGCAUCAAUAUGGUGACCUCCCGGGAGCGGGGGACCACCAGGUUGCCUAAGGAGGGGUGAACUGGCCCAGGUCGGAAACGGAGCAGGUCAAAACUCCCGUGCUGAUCAGUAGUGGGAUCACGCCUGUGAAUAGCCACUGCACUCCAGCCUGGGCAAUGUAGUGAGACCCCAUCUCU
Molecule: signal recognition particle RNA, 299 nt
Filed under: Aotus nancymaae (Ma's night monkey)
Lineage: Eukaryota; Metazoa; Chordata; Mammalia; Primates; Aotidae
Description: Metazoan signal recognition particle RNA (ENSANAG00000003654.1)
Rfam family: Metazoan signal recognition particle RNA
About the family: The signal recognition particle (SRP) is a universally conserved ribonucleoprotein. It is involved in the co-translational targeting of proteins to membranes.
Source: RNAcentral